RNAcentral lists this unclassified non-coding RNA (205 nucleotides) under Hevea brasiliensis (rubber tree). The record is from RNAcentral. Lineage: Eukaryota; Viridiplantae; Streptophyta; Magnoliopsida; Malpighiales; Euphorbiaceae.
UGAACCCAUCUGGUGCUUGCUACCUUAAUAUACAACUGAAAUCUCAAAAAUUAAGGCAUUCUAUGCAGUGAAAUGGUUCAGUACUUGCAUAACAAGGUGUUGACAAAGAAGGCUAAAUGGUGAACCUUUUGCAUUUUCAAGUAAAAAUUAGAAAGCUUCAUUCAAAAUAGCAGUACGAACCAUGAAGAUGGUUCUCAAAGUGAAG